GCAGAGAACUUUCCAGAGAUGGAUGGUGCCUUCGGGAACGUCUGACACAGGUGCUGCAUGGCUGUCGUCAGCUCGUGUCGUGGGAUGUUGGGUUAAGUCCCGUAACGAGCGCAACCCUUGUCCUUAGUUACCAGCACGUUAUGGUGGGCACUCUAAGGAGACUGCCGGUGACAAACCGGAGGAAGGUGGGGAUGACGUCAAGUCAUCAUGGCCCUUACGGCCUGGGCUACACACGUGCUACAAUGGUCGGUACAAAGGGUUGCCAAGCCGCGAGGUGGAGCUAAUCCCAUAAAACCGAUCGUAGUCCGGAUCGCAGUCUGCAACUCGACUGCGUGAAGUCGGAAUCGCUAGUAAUCGUGAAUCAGAAUGUCACGGUGAAUACGUUCCCGGGCCUU
Molecule: ribosomal RNA, 395 nt
Filed under: uncultured Pseudomonas sp.
Lineage: Bacteria; Pseudomonadati; Pseudomonadota; Gammaproteobacteria; Pseudomonadales; Pseudomonadaceae
Description: bacterial SSU rRNA
Rfam family: Bacterial small subunit ribosomal RNA
Source: RNAcentral